UUAAGCACUGGUUCCCAUACGAUCACUGAAGUUAAGCAACAUCGAGCGGGGUCAGUAUCUAGAUGGGUGACUGCAUGGGAAUGCCAGGAGUCGUCA
Acanthosepion pharaonis is the source of this 96-nucleotide non-coding RNA. Lineage: Eukaryota; Metazoa; Mollusca; Cephalopoda; Sepiida; Sepiidae. The record is from the annotation of a GenBank genome assembly.